GAAGCUGGUAGCAACAGGAUCUGAACAAAUGAAAAAUGCAAGAACGGAAGCCAGCAGCAGCUGAACGUCACCUCUGAUACCUGUGAGAUGGUCUGCCUCUGAAGGUGACAGUGUCCAGAUGCCUUUGGUCGAAACCCCCAUGAGUGCUUCUUUCUGUUCCCAUGGUUUGCUUGAAGCAAAAUGAGUCUCAGAAAUUUCCAACCAGCAGAGAAAAAAGGGAACGGCACAGAAGAAUACAGAUGGAAACAAAACACAGUAUCUUCAUCAUCUUUAAUCCUGAGGCUGAAAAUCGAGAACUGGUUGUGGAUUUUGCAUGUGGGGCUCAAGUACAGUCCAGCUUGAGACAUAUACUUACCUGUUCAGCACAAGAUUACUUUGAAUAAGAAGCUUAAAUGAUAAAGGAAGCUGAAGAGAGAGGUUACAAUACUUGCCCAAGGUCACAAAGCAAGCAUAUGGUGAUGUUUGUUAACUCAGGUGACUGACUCUGCCACAGGAUGUGAGUUAUCUUGGCUGACACUGAAGAAUGAAAGAAUGCAGAUGUAGUUUGGUUCUUUCACCAUUUAGGUUGUUACAGAAUAUUGAGCAGUUUCCAGUGCUAUUGGAGA
Molecule: long non-coding RNA, 605 nt
Organism: Cervus elaphus (red deer)
Lineage: Eukaryota; Metazoa; Chordata; Mammalia; Artiodactyla; Cervidae
Exons: 7
Source: RefSeq, a predicted model, not a curated record